AUUGAACGCUGGCGGAAUGCUUUACACAUGCAAGUCGAGCGGCAGCGCGGGGGCAACCCUGGCGGCGAGCGGCGAACGGGUGAGUAAUACAUCGGAACGUGUCCUUAAGUGGGGGAUAGCUCGGCGAAAGCCGGAUUAAUACCGCAUAAGCUCUGAGGAGGAAAGCGGGGGCUCCGUAAGGACCUCGCGCUGUUGGAGCGGCCGAUGUCGGAUUAGCUAGUUGGUGGGGUAAAGGCCCACCAAGGCGACGAUCCGUAGCUGGUCUGAGAGGAUGAUCAGCCACACUGGAACUGAGACACGGUCCAGACUCCUACGGGAGCAGCAGUGGGAAUUUUGGACAAUGGGGGCAACCCUGAUCCAGCCAUUCCGCGUGAGUGAAGAAGGCCUCGGUU
This 392-nucleotide ribosomal RNA is filed under the name uncultured bacterium. RNAcentral's name for it is "bacterial SSU rRNA". It matches the Rfam family "Bacterial small subunit ribosomal RNA", at positions 29 to 424 of the family's 1533-position model. The record is from RNAcentral.